UUAAGUUCAGCGGGUAUUCCUACCUGAUCCGAGGUCAACCUGAAAAAUUGGUUAAAAAAGACCGGGUCAAAAGGGCCGACUAAAAUGCGUGCUAGUUAAAGCUCGUUGCAUCUAGGGUCCAACUGACGCCGUCAUUAUCUUUAGGGCCUGUCUUUGACGACAAGAGGUCCAACAACAAGCCGGGCUUGAUUAGUGAUAAU
RNAcentral lists this unclassified non-coding RNA (200 nucleotides) under Cladophialophora sp. Its description in RNAcentral is "partial internal transcribed spacer 2". The record is from RNAcentral. Lineage: Eukaryota; Fungi; Ascomycota; Eurotiomycetes; Chaetothyriales; Herpotrichiellaceae.